CGGUUUCAUUAAUUUUCAGGAGUUCUCCGACCUCUGCCGCUCUAACUCCUGUGACUCCUCCGCGGAGCUCCGUGACGCCUUCGACCUCUACGAUCAAGAUCACAACGGCCUCAUCUCCUCCUCCGAGCUCCACCUCGUCUUGAACCGCCUCGGCAUUAAAUGCUCCGUGGAGGACUGUGUUCGCAUGAUCGGCCCCGUCGAUUCCGACGGCGACGGCAAUGUUAACUUUGAGGAGUUCCAGAAGAUGAUGACAACUUCCCUUGCUCCCGCCAAAGAGUAGAUUUCAUUCUCUCCUCUUUCCUCAAUUGCUUAUAUUAUUGGGGAAGGAGGAUUAUGAACCUCUUCUGAUGUGG
This 353-nucleotide long non-coding RNA is filed under the name Carica papaya (papaya). Its description in RNAcentral is "long non-coding RNA (CPAP_LNC012641)". Lineage: Eukaryota; Viridiplantae; Streptophyta; Magnoliopsida; Brassicales; Caricaceae. The record is from RNAcentral.